Small nuclear RNA from Phyllopteryx taeniolatus (common seadragon), 114 nucleotides. RefSeq annotates it as U5 spliceosomal RNA. The record is from RefSeq and is a predicted model, not a curated record. Lineage: Eukaryota; Metazoa; Chordata; Actinopteri; Syngnathiformes; Syngnathidae. The transcript has a single exon.
ACACUCUUGUUUCUCUUCAAAUCGUAUAAAUCUUUCGCCUUUUACUAAAGAUUUCCGUGGGGAGGAAUAACACGAGUCAAAACGAAUUUUUUGAUGCCUUGUGUAACUGUGGCU